AUUGAACGCUGGCGGCAUGCUUUACACAUGCAAGUCGGACGGCAGCACAGAGAAGCUUGCUUCUUGGGUGGCGAGUGGCGAACGGGUGAGUAACAUAUCGGAACGUACCGAGCAGUGGGGGAUAACUAAUCGAAAGAUUAGCUAAUACCGCAUAUCUUCUGAGGAAGAAAGCAGGGGACCAUUGGGCCUUGCGCUGUUUGAGCGGCCGAUAUCUGAUUAGCUAGUUGGUGGGGUAAAGGCCUACCAAGGCGACGAUCAGUAGCGGGUCUGAGAGGAUGAUCCGCCACACUGGGACUGAGACACGGCCCAGACUCCUACGGGAGGCAGCAGUGGGGAAUUUUGGACAAUGGGCGCAAGCCUGAUCCAGCCAUGCCGCGUGUCUGAAGAAGGCCUUCGGGUUGUAAAGGACUUUUGUCAGGGAAGAAAAGGGCGGGGUUAAUACCCCUGUCUGAUGACGUACCUGAAGAAUAAGC
RNAcentral lists this ribosomal RNA (473 nucleotides) under Neisseria sicca. RNAcentral describes it as "bacterial SSU rRNA". It matches the Rfam family "Bacterial small subunit ribosomal RNA", at positions 30 to 491 of the family's 1533-position model. The record is from RNAcentral. Lineage: Bacteria; Pseudomonadati; Pseudomonadota; Betaproteobacteria; Neisseriales; Neisseriaceae.